Molecule: long non-coding RNA, 3568 nt
Filed under: Mus musculus (house mouse)
Lineage: Eukaryota; Metazoa; Chordata; Mammalia; Rodentia; Muridae
Description: long non-coding RNA chr9:65590694-65594262
Source: RNAcentral
GGUCAAGACAGGAGAACUCUUCAGUUUGCUGGCCUGCUAACUAAGCUCCAGGUUCAGUAGGAGACCCUGUUUCAGAAAUAAAAAAAAAUAAAAAAUAAAAAAAGAAAGAAAAAAAAAAAAGUGCCAGGUGUAGUGGCACAUGCUUUUAAAUCAGCACUCUGGAGGCAGAGGCAGGUAGAUCUCUGUGAAUGCAAGACCAACUGGUCUACAUAGUGAGUUCCAGGACAGUAAGGGCUACAUACUGAGAACCUGUCUGGAAAAACAAAAACAAACAAAUAAACACUGGCUAAGAGUAACUAAGGAAGACUCAGCAUUGACUUCUAGCUUGUAGAAGUGCACACACUGGGCUGGAGAGAUGGCUCAGUGGUUAAGAGCACUGACUGCACUUCCAGAGGUCCUGAGUUCAAAUCCCAGCAACCACAUGGUGGCUCACAACCAUCUGUAAUGAGAUCUGAUGACCUCUUCUGGUGCGUCUGAAGACAGCUACAGUGUACUUAGAUAUAAUAAUAAAAAUCUUAAAAAAAAAAAAAAAAAAAAAAAAAGAAGUGUGCACACACACACACACACACACACACAAGACAAAGAAAAAGAAGAAGAAGAAGAAGAAAAAAAAAUACCCAGGCUAGCUCUUUCAGCCAAAGCCGUAGGCAAGUUACUAGAAGACUGUACUGGAGAGGCUGAUCUGAUGACAGGAUAGCGAGUAUUCCCGUGUAUCAACACCAGCAUCCUAUUCCAGGUCUGCAAACCUCUGGCCAGAGGUCGCUCAUGAUAUCCUGUUUCUUCAGGAAUACUGGGUUCAGGGGUGGCCAGCAGUGGGUCCACCUGUGUUCAGAGUCCAGCAUCCUUAUCCCCAUGUUCACUGUCCACACCUGAGGGAUAAGUAGACUGGCUGGGGGUCGGGUAGCAGCAAAGCUUAUUCUGGUGCCCCUUUUGAGUCCCAAGACUUGGCCUGUGCAGCAGGCCAUACUGUCCCCACCUUUUCUGGUGUCCAGGGGAUCUCUGGUCUGACACUGCAGCCCCCACAGAUGUUCAGAUGAAGUAACCCGCCAGCUCAGGGCCACAGCUGCCCAUAAGGUGGGACGAGAUGGAAUUGUAGCCACGAGACUAUGUACCCAUCAGGAUGAUGUGGCCCUGACCAACGAGAAGUGGCUGAAGGCACUGCCAGGUAAAUAGAAGGCUUGGGCCAGGAGGAGCCAUCGAACAGGUGUGACAUCCCCUCCACCCCCAUCCCUGGCAAACUGGGCCCAAGCUCUAUGUACAUUUACAGAUGAAACUAUAACCCAAAAGUUGUGGUGAGCUGACUCCCAGGCCCUGGCUAGGCCUGAGCUGUCCCCAGUCCUUCCCCCACAACUAUCUUGAUCUAAUACAUUUGUGGAAGCUGAGCCACAAGUCAAUAUAUAACUUGUUUUCCCAACUCUUGCUUUUCCAGGUGAUGUACACAGCUUUGAGGCUAUAGACAGUGACCCUGAGCUAAGCCGGACCCUGGAUGCUCAGUGCCCUGUUAGCCGUGUCCUUCAGUUAAAGCUGGGGGCUCAGGUGAGUGGGAAACAGGGGAAGGGAUCCCCAAUUUUUUGUUUGUUUGUUUUUUUUUUUUUUUUUUUUUUUUUUGGUUUUUUGAGACAGGGUUUCUCUGUGUAGCCCUGGCUGUCCUGGAACUCACUUUGUAGACCAGGCUGGCCUCGAACUCAGAAAUUCGCCUGCCUCUGCCUCCCGAGUGCUGGGAUUAAAGGCAUGCGCCACUACCGCCCGGCUGGGAUCCCCAAUUAUUAACACUCUACCAAGGCCCCUUGAUAGUUGAGAGCUACUGUGACCACUCCCCGCCCCCUUUCCUGUCUUCAGCUUUUCUCACCUUUCUUCAUCGAGAGCCCUGACAAGCAACACCACUUUAGACAAGUCUCUUCCUUACUGAAGCCCAGUUCCUAGGUGAAAUGUCUCCCCAUGGUAGCAUCCCCCAUGAUAUGAGGUAUACUACCUACCCCUUAUAGUAGUAUACCUUAUAGUAGUAUACCUUAUACCUUAUAGUAGUAUACCCUUAUAGUAGUAUACCACAGAGGGCAUCCUCCUCUGUGGGAAUGACCAAGAAUGGUAGAUUUUCCUCAGAGUCCAUUAGGCACAUGUGGGAAAUGCAAGCAUUGUGGUUGAAAGAGGCAUGGCAGACGCUAGUGUCAUUCCUCAAAAUUUGUGGUCUUCUAGGCAGGCACAAUCCCUUAAUUCCCCACCCCCCUUUGACCUUGAACUCUGGAGAUCCCGCUUGCCUCUGCUUCCUGGAAUAGAAAACCGUGCUCCACCAAACCCAGCAAGGUCCAACUCUUUUCAAAGUCCUGUGAUGCAGGUUACCCUCCUGGCCUUACCACCUUCUUUCUAGGCAACUUGAUGACUACUAAGCCCCUUUGACACAAGAUAAGGUCAAGAUAUUUCCAGGAAAAUAAGGUAGCUUGUCACAGAGGUCGCAGUCACCACAGUGGUGCUUGUGCUAAGAAGCCCCCAUCCUCUCUCUGAACCCUGAUUGCUAGAGGAGUCAGGCCCAGGGAGGGUCCCUCUCCAUCCCUGCACUUCCUCCUCCACAGGUCAUGCUGGUGAAGAACUUGGCAGUGUCUCGGGGCCUGGUGAACGGUGCCCGAGGGGUGGUAGUUGGGUUUGAGUCCGAAGGGAGAGGUGAGUGAUUGCGGAGGGAGGGGGUCCUGUUGCUUGGGUUUAUUUCACAGCCAGCAGGACAAACCAUAGGCAUGCUAAAAGGUGGGACUUCUCAAUGCCUUCCUCAGGGCUCCCCCGGGUACGGUUCCUGUGUGGUAUCACUGAGGUCAUCCGCACUGACCGCUGGACAGUACAGGUCACUGGGGGACAGUACCUCAGCCGGCAGCAGCUUCCCCUACAGCUGGCCUGGGCCAUAUCCAUCCACAAAAGCCAGGUGACUAUCCGAUGCAGGGGUGGGCAGGCUAUGCUGAGCCCAGGCUGGCCUCAAAUUCAUUAUGCAGCUGUAGAGGACGUUGGCCUUGAUCUUCCUACCUCUAUCUCCUGGAAGCUGUUAUUUCAAGUUUGCAACACAAAGCCUGGCUUAGGUGGGUGGGCUUGCACGCAUGCUCCCAGCCAGGCCACGCCCCCAGCCCUAGACUCUUCUCCAGUGUACUUCCUCCUCCACAUUCCUCUCUCCCUUUCUAGACCCUCCUCUGCCAUUUCCCGACCAGGACCAGAACAGGUUAACAACCAAACAAUCGUAGAUACAGCUGGCAAUAGUUAGUGAUUCACAGGCAGAAACAAAGGCGCUGAGAAAGCGAAAGCUUCCGAGGCAUCACAACUAGGGGAGAGGCAGAGUUUUAGCUCUGUACCUGUUUGACCAUUGAGCUCUGUCCCUCAAGCUCUCAGAUGUUUAAGACGCUGGAUGGGGGCUGGAGAAAUGGCUCAGUGGUUAAGAGCACUGACUGCUCUUUCAGAGGUCCUGAGUUCAAUUCCCAGCAACCACAUGGUAGUUCAUAACCACCUAUACUCAGCUCUAGUGCCCUCUACAGGCCUGGUAAGCAUCCAUGCAGGCAGAACACUGUAUAUAUAACACUGUAUGAAUAACUAAAUC